RNAcentral lists this ribosomal RNA (440 nucleotides) under uncultured bacterium. Its description in RNAcentral is "partial 16S ribosomal RNA". It matches the Rfam family "Bacterial small subunit ribosomal RNA", at positions 338 to 795 of the family's 1533-position model. The record is from RNAcentral.
CCUACGGGCGGCAGCAGUGGGGAAUAUUGGACAAUGGGGGGAACCCUGAUCCAGCGACGCCGCGUGAGUGAUGAAGUAUUUCGGUAUGUAAAGCUCUAUCAGCAGGGAAGAAAAUGACGGUACCUGACUAAGAAGCCCCGGCUAACUACGUGCCAGCAGCCGUGGUAAUACGUAGGGGCCAAGCGUUGUUCGGCAUUAAUGGGCUCAAAGGGAGCGUAGGCGGGAGUUUAAGUUAGGAGUGAAAGCCUUGGGCUCAACCCUAGAAAUGCUCUUAAUACUGGUUUUAGAGAGUGUGGGAGAGGAUAGUGGAAUUCCUAGUGGAGCGGUAGAAUGCGUAGAUAGUAGGAGGAACAUCAGAGGCGAAGGCGGGUUACUGGACCAUAACGGACGCUGAGGCUCGAAAGCGUGGGGAGCAAACAGGAUUAGAUACCCGUGUAGUC